This 224-nucleotide long non-coding RNA is filed under the name Homo sapiens (human). RNAcentral's name for it is "HSALNT0224938". The record is from RNAcentral. Lineage: Eukaryota; Metazoa; Chordata; Mammalia; Primates; Hominidae.
UAAGACUGGGGAGUGUAAAACUGUGACUCAUUCAUUGACAGUCUACAGUCAAACCCUGUGCUAGCAUGCACCAUGCUUCCCCCUCCCUCCUACACACACCCAGCAUGUUCCCAUGAUCCUUGAAGAUUCUCACUUCUGGAGGUGAGACCCGGGAACACCAGGCAGAAAAAGCAGGAAGAUCAUUCUUCAGGGAGCUUGUGUGCCUGCCUGAAAAGCUGGCUAGG